GAUGAACGCUGGCGGCGUGCCUAAUACAUGCAAGUCGAGCGAACAGACGAGGAGCUUGCUCCUCUGACGUUAGCGGCGGACGGGUGAGUAACACGUGGAUAACCUACCUAUAAGACUGGGAUAACUUUGGGAAACCGGAGCUAAUACCGGAUAAUAUAUUGAACCGCAUGGUUCAAUAGUGAAAGACGGUUUUGCUGUCACUUAUAGAUGGAUCCGCGCCGCAUUAGCUAGUUGGUAAGGUAACGGCUUACCAAGGCAACGAUGCGUAGCCGACCUGAGAGGGUGAUCGGCCACACUGGAACUGAGACACGGUCCAGACUCCUACGGGAGGCAGCAGUAGGGAAUCUUCCGCAAUGGGCGAAAGCCUGACGGAGCAACGCCGCGUGAGUGAUGAGGGUCUUCGGAUCGUAAAACUCUGUUAUUAGGGAAGAACAAAUGUGUAAGUAACUAUGCACGUCUUGACGGUACCUAAUCAGAAAGCCACGGCUAACUACGUG
Molecule: ribosomal RNA, 497 nt
Filed under: uncultured bacterium
Lineage: Bacteria
Description: partial 16S ribosomal RNA
Rfam family: Bacterial small subunit ribosomal RNA
Source: RNAcentral